CCGGGUCACAGCUGUGACACAUAACUGCCAGCUGAGGGGCCUUGACACCUCCCACUGCUCCCCCCAGGCCUCAGUUUCCUCACCUGUAAAGAGAAGGAGCUGUGGGUCCUUCUGAGGUCAAAUGGUCAGUGACUUCAUAAUCAGAUAAUGGCAACAUGGCUGCCACGACUCAAACCGGAUUUUCACCCAAGGCGACGCAUCCCAGUCUAGAGUGAGCCGAGAGGGGUCCUAGAGCAGCUCAGUGGAGCGGCACGGAAUCUCACUGACCGACCCAGCACUCACCAGCCAGCGAGGCCGGCAGUUCUCACCCUGCAGGGGCACUGGCCAGACCCUCAGAUUAACCGAGCGGUCACUUUUCCACUCUCCAGGAAAUAACUUGCUCUUGGUUUCUUCCAUGUUCUCCCUACGGUCCCCUCAGAGCACCCUGUGGCUGGUGAACCAGAAUCAAAAAGGAAGCAGGAGAAGAAGUCUGCCACAUCCUCAGGAAGCAGCCGUUGCUGCCUCCCGCAGCGCCAUGCAGCUUGCACGGGCUGGGAGGAGCUCUCCUGGUGGAGCUGAGCCCAGGCUGAGAAGAACGGGGCAUGUGCUGCGCUCCAGACUGCAGGCAAACAAGGAUACGUUCCCUCAAAUCUACAUCUCGGGGAGAAAGAAUCAGAACAUGGGAGGGGCCCGAACAGACAAUGGGCACCAGAGGCAAACUCAGCAGGUGAUGGGUGAGGUGUCCCUGGAGCCUGGGGGUGGGGAGAGGGAACGUGGCAUCCUGACAUGGCAGUCAGCACCCAUGCCAGCAGAGCUGCCGAGCACACGCCCGGGAGAAAGCCAGGAGGUCAUCCCAAGCCUGUGGAAGUUCAUUCACACUGUG
This 862-nucleotide long non-coding RNA is filed under the name Equus caballus (horse). Its description in RNAcentral is "lncRNA (ENSECAG00000041111.2)". The record is from RNAcentral. Lineage: Eukaryota; Metazoa; Chordata; Mammalia; Perissodactyla; Equidae.